RNAcentral lists this ribosomal RNA (755 nucleotides) under Aspergillus fumigatus. RNAcentral's name for it is "eukaryotic LSU rRNA". It matches the Rfam family "Eukaryotic large subunit ribosomal RNA", at positions 71 to 841 of the family's 3401-position model. The record is from RNAcentral. Lineage: Eukaryota; Fungi; Ascomycota; Eurotiomycetes; Eurotiales; Aspergillaceae.
GGGAUUGCCUCAGUAACGGCGAGUGAAGCGGCAAGAGCUCAAAUUUGAAAGCUGGCCCCCUCGGGGUCCGCGUUGUAAUUUGCAGAGGAUGCUUCGGGUGCAGCCCCCGUCUAAGUGCCCUGGAACGGGCCGUCAUAGAGGGUGAGAAUCCCGUCUGGGACGGGGUGUCUGCGUCCGUGUGAAGCUCCUUCGACGAGUCGAGUUGUUUGGGAAUGCAGCUCUAAAUGGGUGGUAAAUUUCAUCUAAAGCUAAAUACUGGCCGGAGACCGAUAGCGCACAAGUAGAGUGAUCGAAAGAUGAAAAGCACUUUGAAAAGAGAGUUAAACAGCACGUGAAAUUGUUGAAAGGGAAGCGUUUGCGACCAGACUCGCCCGCGGGGUUCAGCCGGCAUUCGUGCCGGUGUACUUCCCCGUGGGCGGGCCAGCGUCGGUUUGGGCGGCCGGUCAAAGGCCCUCGGAAUGUAUCACCUCUCGGGGUGUCUUAUAGCCGAGGGUGCAAUGCGGCCUGCCCGGACCGAGGAACGCGCUUCGGCUCGGACGCUGGCGUAAUGGUCGUAAAUGACCCGUCUUGAAACACGGACCAAGGAGUCUAACAUCUACGCGAGUGUUCGGGUGUCAAACCCGUACGCGCAGUGAAAGCGAACGGAGGUGGGAGCCCCCUCGCGGGGCGCACCAUCGACCGAUCCUGAUGUCUUCGGAUGGAUUUGAGUACGAGCGUAGCUGUGGGGACCCGAAAGAUGGUGAACUAUGCCUGAA